RNAcentral lists this transfer RNA (63 nucleotides) under Jesogammarus hinumensis. RNAcentral describes it as "tRNA-Leu". It matches the Rfam family "tRNA". Rfam says of the family: Transfer RNA (tRNA) molecules are approximately 80 nucleotides in length. Their secondary structure includes four short double-helical elements and three loops (D, anti-codon, and T loops). Lineage: Eukaryota; Metazoa; Arthropoda; Malacostraca; Amphipoda; Anisogammaridae. The record is from RNAcentral.
AUCAUUUUAGCAUAUUGCGCUAGGCUUAAAACUUAGAGUUAUUGGUUAGUUCAAUAAAUGAUA